GUCCGCUUUGAGAUGUACCUGUUGUGUAUUUGGUGGUUGGGGAGGUAAAGGCUCACCAAGGCGACGAUACAUAGCCGACCUGAGAGGGGGAUCGGCCACACUGGGACUGAGACACGGCCCAGACUCCGACGGGAGGCAGCAGUAGGGAAGCUUCGGCAAUGGGGGCAACCCUGACCGGGCAACGCCGCGUGAGUGAAGAAGGUUUUCGGAUCGUAAAGCGCUGUUGUUAGAGAAGAAUGAUGGUGGGAGUGGAAAAUCCACCAAGGGACGGUAACUAACCAGAAAGGGACGGCUAACUACGUGCCAGCAGCCGCGGUAAUACGUAGGUCCCGAGCGUUGUCCGGAGUUAUUGGGCGUAAAGCGAGCGCAGGCGGUUUUUUAAGUCUGAAGGCUGUCCACUAUACACAUGUGUCGCCUGCGACGGCGCUCUCAGUUGUAAAAAUGGCGGGUGGCGGCAAAAUAUACAAA
RNAcentral lists this ribosomal RNA (468 nucleotides) under Streptococcus pyogenes. RNAcentral describes it as "bacterial SSU rRNA". It matches the Rfam family "Bacterial small subunit ribosomal RNA", at positions 213 to 667 of the family's 1533-position model. The record is from RNAcentral. Lineage: Bacteria; Bacillati; Bacillota; Bacilli; Lactobacillales; Streptococcaceae.